UACGGAGGAUGCAAGCGUUAUCCGGAAUGAUUGGGCGUAAAGAGUCCGUAGGUGGCUAGUCAAGUCUGCUGUUAAAGAGCGAGGCUUAACUUCGUCAAAGCAGUGGAAACUGAAGAGCUAGAGUGUAGUAGGGGCAGAGGGAAUUCCUGGUGUAGCGGUGAAAUGCGUAGAGAUCAGGAAGAACACCGGUGGCGAAAGCGCUCUGCUGGGCUACAACUGACACUGAGGGACGAAAGCUAGGGGAGCGAAUGGG
RNAcentral lists this ribosomal RNA (253 nucleotides) under uncultured bacterium. Its description in RNAcentral is "partial 16S ribosomal RNA". It matches the Rfam family "Bacterial small subunit ribosomal RNA", at positions 524 to 776 of the family's 1533-position model. The record is from RNAcentral.